UACGUAGGGUGCAAGCGUUUGUCCGGAAUUAUUGGGCGUAAAGAACUCGUAGGCGGUCUGUCGCGUCUGCUGUGAAAACUCGGGGCUUAACCCCGGGCCUGCAGUGGGUACGGGCAGACUAGAGUGCGGUAGGGGAGACUGGAAUUCCUGGUGUAGCGGUGAAAUGCGCAGAUAUCAGGAGGAACACCGGUGGCGAAGGCGGGUCUCUGGGCCGGUAACUGACGCUGGAGGAAGCAAAAGCGUGGGGAGCGAACAGG
RNAcentral lists this ribosomal RNA (257 nucleotides) under uncultured bacterium. Its description in RNAcentral is "partial 16S ribosomal RNA". It matches the Rfam family "Bacterial small subunit ribosomal RNA", at positions 524 to 776 of the family's 1533-position model. The record is from RNAcentral.